Molecule: ribosomal RNA, 893 nt
Filed under: Pseudomonas mandelii
Lineage: Bacteria; Pseudomonadati; Pseudomonadota; Gammaproteobacteria; Pseudomonadales; Pseudomonadaceae
Description: bacterial SSU rRNA
Rfam family: Bacterial small subunit ribosomal RNA
Source: RNAcentral
CCGUAGAUUGAACGCUGGCGGCAGGCCUAACACAUGCAAGUCGAGCGGCAGCACGGGUACUUUGUACCUGGUGGCGAGCGGCGGACGGGUGAGUAAUGCCUAGGAAUCUGCCUGGUAGUGGGGGAUAACGCUCGGAAACGGACGCUAAUACCGCAUACGUCCUACGGGAGAAAGCAGGGGACCUUCGGGCCUUGCGCUAUCAGAUGAGCCUAGGUCGGAUUAGCUAGUUGGUGAGGUAAUGGCUCACCAAGGCGACGAUCCGUAACUGGUCUGAGAGGAUGAUCAGUCACACUGGAACUGAGACACGGUCCAGACUCCUACGGGAGGCAGCAGUGGGGAAUAUUGGACAAUGGGCGAAAGCCUGAUCCAGCCAUGCCGCGUGUGUGAAGAAGGUCUUCGGAUUGUAAAGCACUUUAAGUUGGGAGGAAGGGCAGUUACCUAAUACGUAUCUGUUUUGACGUUACCGACAGAAUAAGCACCGGCUAACUCUGUGCCAGCAGCCGCGGUAAUACAGAGGGUGCAAGCGUUAAUCGGAAUUACUGGGCGUAAAGCGCGCGUAGGUGGUUUGUUAAGUUGGAUGUGAAAUCCCCGGGCUCAACCUGGGAACUGCAUUCAAAACUGACAAGCUAGAGUAUGGUAGAGGGUGGGUGGAAUUUCCUGUGUAGCGGUGAAAUGCGUAGAUAUAGGAAGGAACACCAGUGGCGAAGGCGACCACCUGGACUGAUACUGACACUGAGGUGCGAAAGCGUGGGGAGCAAACAGGAUUAGAUACCCUGGUAGUCCACGCCGUAAACGAUGUCAACUAGCCGUUGGGAGCCUUGAGCUCUUAGUGGCGCAGCUAACGCAUUAAGUUGACCGCCUGGGGAGUACGGCCGCAAGGUAAAUAGAAAAAU